UUUACCACUUCUGGAGGAAUAUUGAUCCAUAGUUUAAAUGUGCAAUCUGGCUCCAGAUGUUUAUACUCAAUUACUCAUGUGUACAGAGGUGCAUUUUUUAAAAGAACAAAUGACAAUCACAAGGAUAUUAUCCAACUAAGAUCAAAGAAUAAGUUGUUACGAUAUAGAAAAAAUAAGGGAAAUCACAAGGAGAUUUCAUUAUGUUUCUUGUGGAAAUGGAAAUUCGCUCCUUUUUUGUUGUUCGAGGGUAAGCCCAGAGAUAAAUUCACUGGUUUUGUAUCCUGAGGUGAAUCUAUCAAAUAUAUGCUGUAGGUAGUAAAAGUAGGUUUGUUUUCAAAAUUUCUUAACUACUAUUUGUGUCCUUGUUUAGUGUAAGCCUUCCUAUCCAUCUCUGCCAUGAUGCUUUAUUAUUUUUUGUCAGAACCGCUCUUUCUGUAUCCACUCAUUUGACACAAUUUAUUCUCAAAAUCUAAUCUUAAUUGCUUGUCAGGGACAAAAAUCCCAAGAGAGUACCAACAUUCCAUAACAGUUUGUAAGCAUUGGAGAAUUCGAGUGUUUGUUCUGUUACUGAAAACUCCCCAUAGAAUUGGAAGUUAAAUUUCUUGGAGGAAAAUGCAGGUGACUUUAUCAUGAAUCACUAAAUUUAUGCACUUCAUUACAGAGAAAACAAGGAUAUUAUUAAAAAUGUAGUUAUUAUUAUUAAAAUUAUUAAUUUUCUCUAGAACUUGAAUUAGUAGCAUUUUUAAAAAUCAGCUGUUCUAUUUACUAUUUCUGAUCAAGUCAUUUUAUAUUAUAAAUACAGACAAUGUAUAAAUUUCCUCUUUAAAAGACCAUAAUAUGUCAAAAUAAUAAAUAAGCACCUAGAUUUCAUUGGUGGCCAAAUUUUAUGCAAUCUCUCUCAAGAGUAUUUUUGUCUUUCUAUCCCAGGAACCCAGCUAUAUUUUAAACCAAGUACCAAAGCCACCUACACAAACCACCUGCUCAUAACCAGGUCCCCAGGCUCAGCUCUCUCCUCCUUUUCUGGCCAAGCAGCUAUCUUAUAUGUCUUGCUACGAUCAAUAAACAUAUCUGUUGUCAUUAUCAAGAACACAUAUUCCUUCUUGGCCCUAAACUAGAUAUCAAAGAAUAGAUUAUGCAAAACAGUGAUAUUCUUGAGUCUAUUCACAGUUCAGAAUCAUCACUUUAGUCAGUCAAGACUUUCCCUUCUCCUCUCAGGAUCAUGGACAUACUGACACAGCUGUUCAAGAAACACUAUCCUUACCUUUGCUGUCUGAUCCUUUUAUGAUUUAUGGUUUGGGAUUUCAGCUCUGAUGUCGUUCAUUAAUUCCUUUAUUCUAGUCACUUGUUCAGUUAAGAAAACCAUUUCCAGUGUCCUCUAUGUACCAAACACUAUCAUGGUUCCUGAAACCUUAGUAGGCCCAAUUGCAGUUUUCAAACUUAUGUUAUUAUAAUGACACAGUACCUGGCCCUCAGGAUCCCAUCCUCAGAUAAUAUAGAAAACUUUUAAAAACAAACUUUGCAUGGCAUCAUUCUGAGUUAGCUCUAUUGUACGUCAAUAUAAUCUUACUGGCCUCUUUAAUAGCAGAACCAGAACUUCUUCCUCUAUUCCUAUGGCCACUAAGGGUAAAUUCUUAGGGUAAAGUACAGAAGAGAAAAACAAAUCUGGUUCAAAAAUAUUAGGAGAUUUUAAUGAUUUGUAUUUACUGGUAUAAAAUAGUUUAUUUUGUAUAAACUAGUAGCAAAUUGAUUCCUAGACAAUGUUAAUUCCAAGUAGGAAAUUAUCAUUAAAAUUGUUUAACUUUAAUUUUAACUAUCAAAACAUCUUCUUCAAUGCCCUCCUCAUCCUUUCUUCCUGUCACCAUAACAACCAAUAUUCUAUAAUAAGAUAUUAGCAGCCUUAAGGAAAAAAGAUAUAGAAAAGCCUUCAUAUGUGUGUACGGAAUAUCUCUUCCCUGUCCUUCUUGAGAGAAGACAAAUGUAUAAAAUGAAAAUGCAAAAGUACUGAACAAAGACAAUGAGAAAUAUAUUGAUAGUUAAGAAAGUUAAGCUUAAGGUUUGAGUGCUUUAUAUAUUACUAUAUUUUGUCAUAUCCAUUCUGCGUGGCAUUUUAUAAUACAGCAAAAUGAGGCACAGAAAAAAGAACUAAAUAGGUCGGAAAAUACAGGUAACGAAUGACAAAGAGAGAAUCAAGCAUAGGCACUUUGACUCUAGGCAAGAUGUUUUUAACCAUUACGCCAACCUCUCUGCUAAGGCCCAUUUAUUCAUUCAAUAUGUGCCACUUGCAUUUAUUCAGAAAACAUGUAUUAGGCAAUGGAAAUAUGGCUGAGAAUAAAAGGCAUUUUGCAAACAAAUUUAAAAAAACAAAACAAAACAACUCAUUGUGUGUCCAGAAUUGGUGGGUUCUUGGUCUCACUGACUUCAAGAAUGAAGCCGCGGACCCUCGCCGUGAGUGUUACAGCUCUUAAGGUGGCGCGUCUGGAGUCUGUCCCUUCUGAUGUUCAGAUGUGUUCGGAGUUUCUUCCUUCUGGUGGGUUCGUGGUCUCGCUGGCUCAGGAGUGAAGCUGCAGACCUUCGCGGUGAGUGUUACAGCUCUUAAGGCCGCGCGUCUGGGGUUGUUCGUUCCUCCCGGUGGGCUCGUGGUCUCCCUGGGCUCAGGAGUGAAGCUGCAGAUCUUCGCGGUGAGUGUUACAGCUCAUAAAAGCAGCGUGGACCCAAAGAGUGAGCAGUAGCAAGAUUUAUUGCAAAGAGCGAAAGAACAAAGCUUCCGCAGUGUGGAAGGGAACCCCAGCAGGUU
RNAcentral lists this long non-coding RNA (2794 nucleotides) under Homo sapiens (human). Its description in RNAcentral is "non-protein coding lnc-DTHD1-11:1". The record is from RNAcentral. Lineage: Eukaryota; Metazoa; Chordata; Mammalia; Primates; Hominidae.